Varanus komodoensis (Komodo dragon) is the source of this 1720-nucleotide RNA transcript. NCBI's taxonomy places the organism in Eukaryota, Metazoa, Chordata, Lepidosauria, Squamata, Varanidae. The record is from RefSeq and is a predicted model, not a curated record.
AUUCAGCACCACGAAUGCAGCCGCCGCCGCCGCCGCCCCCGCGUGGCACAGGAAGCGGAAGCCGAGGAACACCUUACAAAAUUCAGGCCGGGAGAAUGUGGUGCGUGUGCUUACAAUAGCCAAGGCUGUCUAAAAACAAGUUCUCCGACUUAAGAAAAAAUGAAUGGAUCAUCAUUGCUGCUACAAUUUCCUCUCUACCAUUUCCUUAAGUAUAUUAGGAAACCUCCUUUCACCAGUUUCUCCUGGAGAUCCAGCUGGAGAUCUUCAUUUCUAUAUGGCCAACAUGUUAAUUCACUACAACAAUGUUGUUCAAAGAAGAUGAUACUUUUCAAGGGAUUGAAAAGUAGCUUGUGUUGUCCUGCAACUAAAGAACAACAGACACAUGAUCUCUCUGACAAGGACCAAAGACUUCUAGACAGACUGUAUGGUGGACUAAUCCAAGGACACAGGGCCUGUUUGGCCGAAGCUAUUACUCUUAUAGAAUCCACACACAGCAGGAAGAAGGAGAUUGCACAGGUGCUUCUUCAGAAGGUACUAUCCUACCACAGAGAACAAGAACAAUUAAAUAAAGGAAAACCACUAGCCUUUAGAGUGGGAUUAUCAGGCCCCCCUGGAGCUGGGAAAUCAACGUUCAUCGAAUGCUUUGGGAAAAUGCUCACUGAAAGAGGGUACAAAGUAUCUGUCCUGGCAGUGGACCCUUCUUCAAGCACUAGUGGUGGUUCACUCUUGGGAGAUAAAACGCGAAUGACUGAGUUGUCAAGAGAUAUGAAUGCUUACAUCAGGCCAUCUCCAACCAGGGGAACACUGGGCGGCGUGACACGAACCACAAAUGAAGCCAUUCUGUUGUGUGAAGGAGGAGGCUAUGACAUUGUUCUUGUGGAAACAGUAGGUGUGGGGCAGUCGGAAUUUGCUGUUGCUGAUAUGGUUGAUAUGUUUGUAUUGCUGUUGCCGCCAGCAGGAGGAGAUGAAUUACAGGGUAUCAAACGAGGUAUAAUUGAGAUGGCAGAUCUAGUUGUUGUAACUAAAGCUGAUGGAGAUCUCAUUGUGCCAGCACGAAGAAUUCAAGCAGAAUAUGUCAGUGCUCUGAAAUUACUCCGUAAGCGUUCAAAAGUUUGGAAGCCAAAGGUAAUACGGAUCUCUGCCAAAACUGGAGAAGGUAUCUCUGACAUAUGGGAUAAGAUGACAGAAUUCCAAGACCUCAUGUUUACAAGUGGGUGUUUUUGGUAAACCAGCUUGACCAUCUACCUGGACAUUAUGACAGUGUUAAAGGUUUUCACCGUAGUUUGUUAGACGCUUCAAGUGGUACAAAGAAAUUUCAAGUCCAUUCAUAUAAAAUUAAACACAAUGCAGUCAUUAUUGCAUCACCAGUAGCACCUUCCAGUGUAAUUCAGCAGAGGAUAAGACAUGCUCCUUUAAAUGGAAGCCAAGCUAGAGAGGAAACAAGGGCUAACUCUUGUUCCAGCCAGGAUAGUCUAACUGGGUGGCCUGUGACUGCGAGUACUCAUUCUCUAACAAAGUUACAGAAAACGCAUUCAAAACCUGCAAGAGGAAAUCACAGACACUAUUACUUAAGUCAAACACCACAGCCUUGAGGUAGGGAAGGGAACAUCUUUGCAUCCAUUCCACCAACUUUUUACCUUUCUCUGACUUUUCUUCUGUGUUUAAGAAGGUCUGACUACCAGGCACUACGGAAAUAACUAGGAGGUUUGAACCCUUGAGU